Molecule: small nucleolar RNA, 76 nt
Filed under: Otolemur garnettii (small-eared galago)
Lineage: Eukaryota; Metazoa; Chordata; Mammalia; Primates; Galagidae
Description: Small nucleolar RNA U3
Rfam family: Small nucleolar RNA U3
About the family: Small nucleolar RNAs (snoRNAs) are involved in the processing and modification of rRNA in the nucleolus.
Source: Rfam by way of RNAcentral
AAAACUGUACUUUCAGGGAUCAUUUCUACAGUUCAUUACCAGAGAAAUUUCUCUGAAUAUGUAAAAUAAUAACAAU